GAAAUUAAAACCCCUGUCUUCCAUUCUUUCACUCACGCCACCCAUUAAACUAAACUUCCAGAACAGAGAGUGAGAGAGGGGCUACGACAGUGCGGGCUGCGGGGUGAAAGAGAGAGAGAGUGUCUUCUAGAGAGAGAGGUUGCUAGGUGGGUGAACUUUGAAGGAGAAAAUUGAGGUAUUGGUGAAUUGGGAAGAUUUCUUAGAUUGCACAAAUUUGAGGAGCUCCUUUCGUGCAUGUUGCAUCAGAAGUUCAGUCUCGGGCUUGUUAAGUCUUAUCAUCCAGGGGGAGGUACUCUUAUCUCUCAUUUACUAUAUGCGGAUGAUGUUUUAAUUUUUACCAAUGAUGGGAGAUUAUCUAUAAGAAGUAUCAUGGCAACUCUUCAUCGAUACGAGAAGAUUUUUGGACAAUUAAUUAGUCCAAAUAAGUCUACCAUUUUCUUCCCUCCUCAUAUGUCUUUGGCUAGAAGAAAUGAUCUCAAAGGGAUUUCCAAUUUUGAAGAGGGCUCUUGGCCGUGUAUAUAUUUGGGAGUUUCGUUAUAUUAGGGAAGGUUGAAAAUAUCUUUAUUUGAUGGUAUCUUGGCUAGAAUUCAGAAAAAACUUGCAGGGCGGAAGAGUAAGAUGUUAUCGUUUGGUGGUAAGAUGUUGCUUUUACGGCAUGUUUUAAAUAGCACGCCUAUUCAUAUUUUGUCAGUAUUAAAAGUGCCCAAGGUAGUUUUUGGGAUGAUUAACAAGAUUUUUUCAGAUUUCCUUUGGGGAUCCUCGCUGGAAAAUAAGAAACCUAAAUGGGUGGCGUGGCAUAAGAUUUGAAAACCAGUGGAAGAAGGUGGUCUUGGCAUUAGAGACUUGAUGGAAGUGUAGGAAUCUCUUUUUAUGAAGUUUGGAUGGAAGCUGGUUACGGAGGUGUCGCUAUGGGCAGAUUUUUUCAGGGAAAAAUAUCUUCGCCGGGACUAUGUUUAUAAUUUAAUGAGUAUGAAUAAAGGGUGACAGUUUUGGAAAGGGAUUAUGGAGGUGAUGCCGAAAAUCAGUCAUAAUUCUAAGUGGCUGAUUGGGGUUGGAAACAUAAAUUUCUGGAUGGAUAAUUGGUUAGGGGGAGGACCUUUGAAGGACUUGUGUCUGGUUAUGGGAAGGGAAGGCCUGCAGGUUGCUGACGUGUUUGAUGAGAGGGGGCCUAAGUUGGAAGUCUUACGUAAUCUAGUUCUGUCAGAUGUUAUUCAUCUGAUUUCCAAGGCUAACAUGAAGAUUAGAAACAGGGCAAAUACGAUUAUAUGGAAGAGCUCUUGGGACGGUAAUUUCACAACAAAAUCAGCGUGGGAUAUCUGUAGAAAAUGUGGGGAAAUUUGUGGGUGGAGGAAGUGGCUUUGGCUUGAUAAAAUUCCAAAAAAAAAAAAUGUCCUUUCUUUGCUGGAGGUUGAAAAGAGGAGUAGUGCCGACGGAUGAUGUAAUUUAGAGUUUGGGCUUCCUUUAGUUUCUAAAUGCACUGUUGUAUAGUAUCAAAUUCUGAAACCUUGGAGCACAUUAUGUGUGAGGGAUUGAAUGCCCAAAUGGUUUAGAAAUAUUUUGCUAAUAUUUGUCAAAUCAGGUUGCCGUAGAUCAGGAACUGGAGAGGGAUGAUGGCUUUUUGGUGGAGGAGAGCUGCAAAAAAUAUCAAGCCGGUUGGAUCCGUGGAGUGAUGCCCAUUGUUAUCUCUUGGUGCCUUUGGAAAGCAAGGUGCUCGACAAUGAUGGAAAGGGCUCCUUUUCAGGUAAUGGAUAUUAUUAGACAAUUGAGAAUUAUGAUUAAUAACAAUUUUCAGGUUAUGAAGAGAAAUGAUUCUUUAGUUAUGGAAGGGCUACAUGUGCCGAUUAUUCCUAUUAAAAAAAAACAAGUGACCUUUGUUAAAUGGGAGUUGUCGAAGAGGGGUAUAGUGAAAUUGAAUGUUGAUGGUGUGGCUCAUGUAAACCCAGGAGAGGCAGGGGGUGGGGGUAUUAUUCGAGAUUGUAAUGGUAAAUGUAUUGCUGGUUUUGCGCAUUACGGGGUUGCUACAAAUACGGUUGCUAAAUGCCGUGCUUUAUUAGAUGGUUUGAGGAUUUGUAAAAAUUUGAGACUGCAUAAUGGUUUAGUAGAAUCUGAUUCUAAGGUUAUCAUGAGUUGGCUGGCUUCCAGAAUUUGUCGUCUUUGGUUUUUGUGGGAUUUUUGGGAAGAGAUAAAGGAUAUUUCCAUAGAGAUUAAUGCUCGUUUUAGUCAUGUUUUUCGUGAAGCUAAUAUGGUAGCAUAUUUUUUAGCUAAGAAGGGGACUAUGGGGGAAAAUAUAGAUUUUGUUGGGAUGGAUUUUCAGUAUACACGGCUUAGAGGAUUGAUUCGCCUUGAUCGGAUGGGGAUGGUUUUUAUUAGAGAGAAAUGAUUUUUUGUUAGGAGUUUUUUUGUAAUAAAGGUAUUCCUCUGCCAUAAGUGAGGAUUUUUUAAUCAUAUUGGGGUAGGGGCUUCUCUCGUACAUGGGGCCCUGACUUUUAAAAAAAAAUGCACAAGGCAUGAAAGUUUUUAUAUAAUUUGCUCGCGGGAGUGUUAACACUCAAGGUUAUAAAAGAUGUCCAUGCAAGAAGUACAAAAAUCUUAGUUCUUAUAACUUGGCGGUAGUGGAGGAGCAUUUAUAUGUCAAUGGAAUUGAUUCUAAAUACUCACCAUGGGUCUUACAUGGCGAACCUUUUUCGAAAGGAAUUAGAUUUGGUACUCAGUCCAAUCAAACUAUGGAAGGUAACAACAUCGACAUAAAUGACAUAGAUGUGGAUGUAUUUGAUGAUAGUGAUGAUAAUAAAAAGGAUAUGAUAGUGAUGUUAGGAAACCUUGGUGCUAGUAUGUUUGGGGUGAGGGAUGGAGAAGGAACAUCUACCCAAUCGUUUGAAGGGAAUGUUAAUUUUGGAAGAUUGUGGGAGGAUGCACAGCGAAAAAUGUACGAGGGGUGCACUCGUCAUAGCAAAUUUUCUUUCACAGUAAGGUUGCUUCAUAUUAAGUCUAUAUGUCAUAUUUCUGCAAAGGCCAUUAACAUGUUACUCGAAUUAUUUAAAGAGGCUCUCCCACCAGAUAACAUAUUACCCCGUAAUUUUUAUGAAGUGAAGAAAUUGAAGCGAGGAUUAAGAUUCGAUUAUAAUAUCAUUCAUGCAUGUAAGAAUGACUGUGUUAUCUUUUAGCAGCAAUAUAUAGAAUUUGAUGAAUGUCCAGUACGUCAUGAGUCGAGAUGGUCAUCCGCUAAGCAUAAUGUACCCCAAAAGGUGUUAAGACAUUUUCCUUUGAUUCCGAGACUACAAAGAUUAUUUACAUCUCGGUCGAUUGCUAAAGAUAUAUCUUGGCAUCGCACAGAAAGAGUCUCAAAUGAGAACUUCCUUACACAUCUGCAAAUUCUUUACAAUGGAAAAAACUUGAUGCCGAGUACCCAUGGUUUGUCAAAGAACCUCACAAUGUUAGACUUGGGUUAGCAACUGAUGGUUUUAAUCUAUUUGGAAACAUGAGCACUUCUCAUAGUACAUGACUAGUGAUAUUAAUGCCCUAUAAUUUGCCACAUUGGAAGUGCAUGAAGGAUUCGUACUUUAUGAUGACUCUUCUCUUUCAAGGGCCAAGGUCACUAGGGAAUGAAAUUGACGUAUAUCUUCAGCCACUAAUAACAAAAUUGAAGGAGUUGUGGGAUAAUGGUGUCAAUACAUAUGAUACGGCCUCAUCGCGGAAGUUCAAGAUACAUGCUGUAGUGUCAUGGACAAUAAAUGAUUUUCCAGAGGUGGAGCACAAAAGGUAAAAUGGCUUAUCCUAUUUGUAAUAAAGACACUCAGUUUCAAUGGUUGACAAAUGGUAGAAAAUUAUGUUUCAUGGAACACCGUCGAUAUUUAUCACAUGAUCAUAGAUGACAUUCAAAUAGAGUCAUAUUUGAUGGAGGGGUUGAGCACAGAUCAUCACCGAUGUUGUUGUCUGGGCUAAAUAUUAUCAUACAGUUGAUGAAUGUUCCAGAAAAUAGAUUUGGGAAGGAUGGAAGAGAUCGAAAGAGAAAACGGCAAUCAAUGGAGUUGAAUUGGACAAAAAAAAAAAAUACCCCACUUUUUUUAAUUACCCUACUGGUCUACCUUGACACUUCGUCAUAAUUUAGAUGUUAUGCACAUUAAGAAAAAUAUAUGCGAGAAUAUACUGAGUACUCUGAUGUCAAUAGAAAGGAAGACAAAAGAUACAGCUAACUCUCGUAAAGAUUUAAAGGAGUUGGAGAUAAGAAGAAAGUUGCAUUUGCAAGAUAAUGGGUCUUUAGCUUAUAUCCCCUUUGGUUGGUAUACACUAUCAAAUGAUGAGAGGAAAAAAUUCUGUGAAUGGUUCAUGACAAUCAAAUUACCUGAUGGCUAUGUUUCGAACAUGUCCAGAUGUGUGUGAACCCAUGAUUGGAAGAUAACUGGUUUAAAAAGUCACGGCUGUCAUGUAUUUUUGCAACGUUUAUUGCCAGUUGGUGUGCGUGGAAAGCUUAUUGUAGAGUUCGUGCAGCUUUGACAGAAUUGGGAAGAUUUUUUAGGGACAUUGCAAUAACAUGUUGAAAAUUGAUGCAUUAAUAAAGAUGGAAGCUAGCAUUGCAGUGAUAUUGUGUAAAUUAGAGAGUUUGUAUCCACCUUCAUUCUUUGAUGUAAUGGUUCAUUUGGCUAUGCACUUUCCUCGUAAGGCUUUAGUUGCUGGCCUGGUCCACUAUAGAUAAAUGUAUCUUAUUGAAUGUUUUUUGGAAAAACUUAAGCGAUCUGUGGGGAAUAAGGCUUGUUCAGAAGGUUCGAUUAUAGAAUCAUAUAUUGAUAAUGAAUGGCAUAUAUUUUGUUUUAUCUAUUUUCAUGGGAUUGAGUCAAGAUUCAUGAGACUGGUCUGAAAUUAUGAAUGUGGACAAAUGGGAGUUAAUUCAUUAUGUAUGUAUUUUCUCAAACUGUAUGUCCCAUAGGCGCACAAAUGAGCUAUGACCUAUGUGGAUGAGAGUUUGCUAGAUUCAGAUGGUAUGUAUUGAAUAAUUGUGCGGAGAUUGACAACUACUUGAGGUUAGUGAUCUAUGCCUAUUAAAAGAAAAUUAAAAUCCUUGCUUGUAUCCAUAAAACUUGAUCACUAUUAAUACAAUAACUUGAACAUGGACAAUGAACAUAUACAAUUACUUCGAGAGGCCAGUGUAACUGAUGUAGAAAAGAAACACGAAGAUGAGUUCGCCUCGUGGUUUGAAGAUAUGGUAUUACUAAAAAAUUUCUUACUAUCUAUGAGUUUCAUACCAUUGAUAUCUCACACUGCUAUAACUGGCAUAAAAUUUAUAUAUUGGUAGGCUAUAUUGAAAUAUGGUGAUAAUCCAAAAGAAAUCACAAGUGAAUUGUAUGCUUUGGCUCCUGAUCCAUCUAGGCGGGCCAUCCAAUAUUUAGGAUGUUUGGUGCGUGGAUAUAAAUUUCACACUGCUAACAGAGAACACUAUAGAAAAACACAAAAUUGUGAGGUUAUAGUCGAAAGAAGAUAUGAUUGGGAUAAUAUUGACUUCUACAGAGUUGUAAAAGAUAUCAUUGGGUUAAAGAUGUUUCAAAUCCUAGGUUAGGAGUGCGUAAUGAUGAAUAUUUUGUAAGUAUCAAUACAUCGCACACGUGAUAUGAGGACAAUCAUUUCAUUCUUGCUUGCCAAGCAAAUCAUGUUUAUUAUUUUGAUGAUCCAGAGUACGGAAACUCAUGGCGAGUAGUACAGAAGUUUGCACCAAGAAAUAUAUAUGAUUUCAUUCCAAAGGUAGAUGAACAACAUGAUGGUUCAACAAAUAAAGAAGCAUAUCAAGAAAACGAAUCAGGCAUCAAUCUAUUUAUUGAUCUCAGCCAAUAUGAUAUGGUUUUAUUGUGUAGAGAAGAUGUUGAACCAAAAGUAAUUAAGGGUGGAUUGUCAGGGGAACAUUCAUCAACUGAAGUGUCUAGUGAGGAUGAGAGUGACUGAUCCAGCAAAAGUGAUAGUGAUUGAUAUCUGUUUUAUGUAAGUAUCGAAUUAUUUACAAAUAAUAACAUAUCUCAAAAUAAUAAUCUAUUACAAUUUAAAAUAGAUAUGCCUUCGAAAUGCAAAUCAACUCCUAUGCCAUCUCCAUCCAUUACUGACUCUCCAAUUGGUUCGCCUGCCAUGUCUGUUGGGCCAACAUCACCAGACCCAAAACAAGUGAGAAGAUCAACUAACAGUUGAUGAGUUGAUGUCAAAUGCAUUCUAGAGGUACAAAGGUAGAUGCCACGCAUAUUAUCAAAAGUUUAGUAGUGCAACAAAGACGCAUCAAAAUCUAUUUAAGAGAUGCUACCAAACGAAUGAGAGAAACUUUGUGAUAUAUUUAAAGAUCCCUCAUAUCACCAACGGAGUACUAUGAACAAAGCAAACAGAACAAAUUUAACGAUAAACCAUAAUGUAGAUUCUCGAUAUUUUCAUCGACAAUUAAAAAAAUUGGAAGAAGAAAGUCCUAUUGACUAUAAUCUGACCCAAUUGUAUGCUAAAUCACAUAAAAAUUGUGACGGUAUUUAGACCAAUCCCAAAGUAGAAACAAAUUAUGUAAGUUUUUUCUUCGUAUUGUCUAAUAAUAUUUAUGUUAUUUAUAACAAUAUUUAAUGAUUUUUUUUGUAGAACAAGAUGGUAUCACUUAUGGAAAAUGUUACGGCUCCAUCUGACGAAUUAUCUAUGAAUGAUGUUUAAAUAUUUUUUCAAGUUCUUAGACCACAUUCUAGAUAUACGAGAGGAUUAGGACGUUGUGCAAAACCCUCCUCAACAUCGUCAUCCUCUUUUCAAGUCAGAUUGAAUAAUAACUUUCAGGAAUUAGAAGAAGUAAGGCAGGUGAUCAAACAUUUGAGGUCACAACAAAGAGAGUUGCAGACUCAAUUAGCUUAGGCAGCGGAUAUAAAGGCAAAAUUAGAACAAAACAUGUAGAAAAAACUCAAGAUCCAAUCUCAAAAAAUAUUUGAACAAUGGCAAUUAAUGAUGUAUCAAAAUUGUAUGCCGCUACCAUCUUAGAACUUAUUUUCUUUACUUGUAUUUUUUUUUUUUUUUUUUUUUGACUUGAUGCAAUGUUUGAACAAAUGGGAUGUUUUAAAUAUAACAUUUUAACAUUUGUUUCAAUUUUGAAUUUACAGUUUAAUGUAGCAUGAGUAUCGUUCGAAUGUAACGUACCCAGUUCGAAUGGUACUUUAUGUAUAAUUGCUUGUUUGAAUGUAUUUUAGAUUCCAUUCGAAAAACCAACCGAAUCCAUUCCACUGGGUUGAGCCACGACUUUUAUGUUUGAACAAAUUACCUUCU
Molecule: long non-coding RNA, 7260 nt
Organism: Carya illinoinensis
Lineage: Eukaryota; Viridiplantae; Streptophyta; Magnoliopsida; Fagales; Juglandaceae
Exons: 7
Source: RefSeq, a predicted model, not a curated record